Molecule: long non-coding RNA, 1262 nt
Filed under: Phaseolus vulgaris (common bean)
Lineage: Eukaryota; Viridiplantae; Streptophyta; Magnoliopsida; Fabales; Fabaceae
Description: long non-coding RNA (PVUL_LNC004757)
Source: RNAcentral
GACAUCACACGAAAACCUCCCCAUUUCACCCUUCCUCCGGUGCUGGCUCCUGCUCCGGUGUUCGCAUAUUCACCGUAAUACAGAGUGCUCAGAGCAAAGUUUCCACUCCACUCAGACCAACCUGAAGAAACAACCACUUCUAGGUAAAUACUCCACUUUCACUCUUAUGUUAUUUAUGUCUAUUUUCUAGGUAAAAAAUAUAGUAGAAAGCUAUUCAAAUUAGUAGCAUGUUAGUUUCACAAAUCUUUAUUUUUAUUUUAAUCACAAAAAUUAUACAUUUAAAAAAAAAUAUUUAAAUAUUAAAAUAAUAAUUUCAUGACAUUAAACAGGUUCAAAAUGUAAACGUUGUCAAGAAAAUAAUAAUUAUAUCCCUUAAAUGGGAUAAAAGUCGGUAAGCUGAGUUUUUCUUUUAUUUUAAUUAUUUCUAUCUCUAUUCUUUUCAAUCAUAUCACUCAUUUAUAUCUACUUUUUCUUUUUCUUUCUAUCCCCAUACACCACCAAAGGGCACUUAGGCUCUUCUAGCUGAUUAUUAUCCUUCUACGUCUAUGAAUAAUUUUACAUAUUAUAUAUUUUAAAAACUUGUUAUUUUUCUCUCUUUUUUCAAUGUAUACUUAUAUUACUUAUACAUCUUUUCUCACCACCUAAAAUUAUUUUAUAACUACAAUUUUUUAAUUCAAAAAAUAAUUAUAAUACUUUCUUUUCACUUAAAAUUUAUCUUCAUGUAUUUUUAUUGUUAAAAAAUUAUCUCUCACUAGUAUUUUUCCUUCUAGCAGUUGUACUUGCACGAUGAACAAAGACAAGGAGUCACACUUUAACCUUAUGUUUUUCUCUAUCAUCGUAGAAGAUGAAGUUUCCAACUUCACUAUCAAAGACAAGCAAAAAUAAUAACAUAAUAAUAAAGGACACGGGAAAUCUCAUGUCUAUCUUGUUUAGAUUUUUCUAUCUUAUAUUAAAGUGAAAAUAAAGUUAAAUAACGUUUAUCUUAAAUGAUUGGACUAACCAUUUAUAAAAUAGAGUUGUGUAAGUUGAUUUUUACUUGAGAUAAAACAACACAAGCCUUUUUAUUAUAAAAUAUAGAUGCAGUUAUAUAGUAUGAAAAAAGUGGUGAACCUGCAGGGUUAAUCAAGCCAUCAAGGGCACUCUUCAUAACCACAGUCCUUGAAUACUUCUGCCAUGGACGACCAAGAUAGGUUCUGAAAGAGCCCUGCACCGCUUUCAGGUCCCCAGCUGCAGUGAUGACACAGUUAUGGAUGAUGAUGCCU